AUGAACAUUGGUCCCCUGACUCGUUGGCUCUGGCGUAUCGCCAGUGGGGAGGGAGGCCUCUGGCUUACUAUCAUUCGAAACAAGUACCUUCGGGGCCAACCCCUAACUUUCUGUCAGCAUUCUGGUGGCUCCCAGUUCUGGCAGGCUGUGAUUCAGCUAUUACCUGUGCUCCGCAUCGGCACGUCCAUCUCGGUUGGCUCUGAGUCCUCGAUCCUAUUCUGGUUCGACCGCUAGUUAGGGGACUCCCCCCUGGCCACUCGAUUCCCGGACCUAUUCGCCAUAGCGGUCGACCCUCGGGUCUCUGUCGAGACUGCCCUUAUUGACUUAGGGCGUCUCGCUUUCCGGCGCCCCUUCGGCCCCCUUGAGGUUGCCGCUUGGGACUCCCUCCUCUAGGAGAUCGCUCUUAUUUCGAUGGACGUCGAGGGUGCCCCUGACUCCAUCUCUUGGCGUCUGGAGCCAUCCGACCAUUUCUCCACUAAGUCCUUAUACGCGACCAUCGCACCCUCGUCGGCCCCUGAGCCCUUUAGCCUGAUCUGGGACAUUCGCCUCCCCCUGAAGAUCAGGAUCUUCCUGUGGCAGUGGAUCCGGGGACGCCUUCCCUCUAGGGUAGAGGUCCUCAAGCGUAAUGGACCAGGAGAUGGGAUGUGUCCCUUGUGCGGCACAGUGGAGGAUACUAACCACAUCUUCUCCUGCUCCACAGCCCAAUUCCUGUGGUCAUGCUUUCGCGAGACGGUCGAUGGGCACUGGUGCAACACCAACUUCCCCGACUUUCUUGCGGAGAUCCACGCCUCCCCCUCGCUACCACCAUAUUAG
This 813-nucleotide ribosomal RNA is filed under the name Triticum aestivum (bread wheat). RNAcentral's name for it is "partial small subunit ribosomal RNA". The record is from RNAcentral. Lineage: Eukaryota; Viridiplantae; Streptophyta; Magnoliopsida; Poales; Poaceae.